GUCUUUUUGAGUUAUUUUUAAAGUCUGACCUGCCCACUGAAAUUUUUAAAUGGCCGCAGUAUUCUAACUGUGCAAAGGUAGCAUAAUCAUUAGUCUUUUAAUUGAAGGCUGGUAUGAACGGUUGGACGAGGUAUAAGCUGUUUCAUAUAAAUUUAUAAUAGAAUUUUAUAUUUUAGUCAAAAAGCUAAAAUAUUAUUAAAAGACGAGAAGACCCUAUAAAUCUUUAUAUUUUUUUUUAUUUAAAUUUUUUGGAUUUAUUUUAUUUUUAUAAUGGAGAAUAUUUUGUUGGGGUGAUGUUAAAAUUUAAUGAACUUUUAAUUAUAAAAAUCAUUAAUUUAUGAGUUAUUGAUCCAUUAGUAGUGAUUAUAAGAUUAAGUUACUUUAGGGAUAACAGCGUAAUUUUUUUGGAGAGUUCAUAUCGAUAAAAAAGUUUGCGACCUCGAUGUUGGAUAAAGAUAUAAUUUUAGGUGUAGCCGCUUAAAUGCUAAGUCUGUUCGACUUUUAAAUUCUU
This 511-nucleotide ribosomal RNA is filed under the name Zeugodacus cucurbitae (melon fly). RNAcentral describes it as "partial 16S ribosomal RNA". It matches the Rfam family "Bacterial large subunit ribosomal RNA", at positions 1829 to 2597 of the family's 2925-position model. Lineage: Eukaryota; Metazoa; Arthropoda; Insecta; Diptera; Tephritidae. The record is from RNAcentral.